RNAcentral lists this ribosomal RNA (343 nucleotides) under uncultured bacterium. RNAcentral's name for it is "bacterial SSU rRNA". It matches the Rfam family "Bacterial small subunit ribosomal RNA", at positions 29 to 345 of the family's 1533-position model. The record is from RNAcentral.
AACGAACGCUGGCGGCGUGGCUAAGGCAUGCAAGUCGAACGGAUCUAUCCAACGGGUAACUGAAGGGUAGAUUAGUGGCGAACGGGUGAGGAAUACAUGGACAACGUACCCUGGACACGGGGAUAGCGGCGGGCCGCAAGGCUCUUUAGCGAAAGUGCCGGUAAUACCCGAUGAUCCCGCAUGGUCGCAUGAUCGUGUGGGCAAAGCUCCGACGGUCUGGGAUCGGGUUCAUGCCCUAUCAGCUAGUUGGUGAGGUAACGGCUCACCAAGGCGGCGACGGGUACCGGGCGUGAGAGCGUGACCCGGCACAUCGGAACUGAGAUACGGUCCGGACACCUACGGG